UCCAGGUUCUUCUUACAAUGUGACGCAGAUCUAUGGACAGAGUCUGUGUUCCUGACCCUUGUAUCUGUGACUACGGCAGGAGUGACCCUAAGUUCCAAGGCUAGGUCAGGAGUGAAGAUGUGUCAUAAGUCUGGGUGGAGCUAUAUCAUACAGAGGUGGCUGGACAGCCCGGGGUGCACUUUUCCCAGAAGUAACUGCCAGACGUUCAAGUGUGAAAACCUUCAGCUGACUUCAGCUGGCACGAACAGUUCUCCUUCACCCGAGCAAAUCCGACGGACCUCACUACAGACUGGGCUGUGGCGUAUUUUUCAUGUACCAGAGUGCCACCAUUGAUCACAGCUCUAAGAGGGUGUUUGUGAAGUCAGGAAGUAGUAUUCCACGCCUUUAAUUCCAGCACUCAGGAGGCAAAGACAGGAGGAUUUCUAGACAGCCCCCUCCCCCUUUGGCUGCAGCUUCAGCAGUGCUUGAGUUUGGUGCAACCAACCCAUGGAUGAGGCUUCUUGGGGGAAGCUGUGACCCUGGAAGAGGCAGGGAGGGAGAAGGCUGCGGUGACUCAUGCUUCCAACUGGACUGGCUCAUCAAGUCUGUUUUUGG
RNAcentral lists this long non-coding RNA (594 nucleotides) under Mus musculus (house mouse). RNAcentral's name for it is "predicted gene, 32743". The record is from RNAcentral. Lineage: Eukaryota; Metazoa; Chordata; Mammalia; Rodentia; Muridae.